CCUACGGGUGGCAGCAGUGAGGAAUAUUGGUCAAUGGACGCAAGUCUGAACCAGCCACGCCGCGUGCAGGAAGACGGCCCUAUGAGUUGUAAACUGCUUUUGUACGGGGGUAAACGCAGAUACGUGUAUCUCUCUGAAAGUAUCGUACGAAUAAGGAUCGGCUAACUCCGUGCCAGCAGCCGCGGUAAUACGGAGGAUGCGAGCGUUAUCCGGAUUUAUUGGGUUUAAGGGGUGCGUAGGCGGAAUAUCAAGUCAGCGGUAAAAAUUCGGGGCUCAACCCCGCAGCGCCGUUGAAACUGAUGUUCUUGAGUGGGCGAGAGGUAUGCGGAAUGCGUGGUGUAGCGGUGAAAUGCAUAGAUAUCACGAAGAACUCCGAUUUCGAAGGCAGCAUACCGGCGCCCAACUGACGCUGAAGAACGAAAGCGUGGGUAUCGAACAGGAUUAGAUACCCGUGUAGUC
This 459-nucleotide ribosomal RNA is filed under the name uncultured bacterium. RNAcentral's name for it is "partial 16S ribosomal RNA". It matches the Rfam family "Bacterial small subunit ribosomal RNA", at positions 338 to 795 of the family's 1533-position model. The record is from RNAcentral.